AGCUCCAAUAGCGUAUAUUAAUGCUGUUGCGGUUAAAAAGCUCGUAGUUGUAUCUCGGCGGGCAGGGGGCGGUCCGUUCUUCGACGCGACUGCCCCAUUUGCCCGUGUUUGUUGUGUGGCGGAGGUGUCUGGGUGCUCUUCACCGAGUGUCCAGGUGCGCCGCCAGGUUUACUUUGAAAAAAUUAGAGUGCUCCAAGCAGGCCUUACACGCUUGAAUAUUCGUGCAUGGAAUAAUGGAAUAGGACGUCGUUUCUAUUUUGUUGGUUUUCGGAAAUCGACGUAAUGAUUAAUAGGGACAGUCGGGGGCAUUAGUAUUCAGACGACAGAGGUGAAAUUCUUGGACCGUCUGAAGACUCACUACUGCGAAAGCAUUUGCCAAGAAUGUUUUCAUUAAUCAAGA
Molecule: ribosomal RNA, 400 nt
Filed under: phytoplankton environmental sample
Lineage: Eukaryota
Description: partial small subunit ribosomal RNA
Rfam family: Eukaryotic small subunit ribosomal RNA
Source: RNAcentral